CGUGGGAUCGUUUUUCAGCCUUUAUGAAAAUAUAUCUUGCCACUGGAUGCACCUGCUUCUAAGUGGAGGCGUAGAGGCACUUAACGAUUCUUUUAUCCCUGUGAAAAGAUUUUUAAAGUUAGAUAAAGAAUAUAUAAAGAAUUAACUUUGUGCUUUUGAAUGGGAUCGAUUCUGAAGAACAAAUGCAAAGAUUGGAAUACAACGAUGUCGACUUUUCGAAAGUUCUUCGAAUAUUAAUAUUUUAUGAAAAUGCCUUUUUUGAUGGAAAAUAUAUCCUUUCCAUGGUUGGAAAAUAUCCAAUAAGUUUUUUUAAUAAAUUUAUUUAACAAUCAUUAUUGAUUGUUGUGUAUAUAAAUAAUUACAAAAUAUAAAAAUAACAGAAAAUGGAAUGAAAAAUUAAAAAUUUUCAAUAAUCUAACAAAUUUAUUUUAAUAUUCUAAAUGUAUAUCAAAUCAAACAAAUUUCUUAUUUGAAAAUCGUACGCACUGCUUGGUUUCUAGAAAAUUCAGACCAACGGGAAAUAAAAAUUUCCCCAUGAAAAAUUUUUCCUCAUGUUGGUCAUAGUUUCCCUUCUAUUCCUACUAUUCUUUUUCCCCAAUUUUAGGGUAUAAAAGGACUGUAAGAGCCCUCUCAGAAGGGUCAGUUGAACGACAAGUUUUGUACGAUAUCAGGUAUUAAAGUUCCUUCAAUUACGUUUCAAGUAAUUACAUAUAGUAAGUAUAUUAUGUUAUUUCACAUUAUUUUUUGGUUCCCGUUUUUCUUUUUUGUGUGAAAAGAAUUAAAUAAUUCAUCUAGUGACAAUUUAUUUGUAGAUAUCGCGAUCACUACACUGGACAAUUUGUAUAUUAAUUGUACGACUUAUAUAUAGAAUAUAUCUAUAUAUAAUGAAAUCUUUAUAUCUGUCAUUCUUGAACAAACAAACAAUGAAUAUAUCAAUUUUUUUAAUAAGAAUUAAUGAAAAAAAAGGAAUCGAUUUUCAAUUUCAAAUCAGGAUU
Apis mellifera (honey bee) is the source of this 995-nucleotide long non-coding RNA. RefSeq lists it as uncharacterized. NCBI's taxonomy places the organism in Eukaryota, Metazoa, Arthropoda, Insecta, Hymenoptera, Apidae. The record is from RefSeq and is a predicted model, not a curated record. The transcript is spliced from 4 exons.